AGCUCCAAUAGCGUAUAUUAAAGUUGCUGCAGUUAAAAAGCUCGUAGUUGGAUUUGUGGGAUGGCCGUCCGGCGGGGGGCCUUUCAUGGUCCCGUUUGUCCUGGUUUUCGGCCUUCCCUUUCUCGGGUCUAGCGUAUUGGCUGGCAUUAGGUUGUCGGCCGCUUCGCGCCCGUCGUUUACUGUGAAAAAAUUAGAGUGUUCAAAGCAGGCUUAGGCCGUUGGAUAUAUUAGCAUGGAAUAAUGAGAUAAGGCCGCGGUGGUCUUUUCUGUUGGUUUGCCACACGCCGCAAUGGUAAAAAGGAACAGUUGGGGGUAUUCGUAUUCAACUGUCAGAGGUGAAAUUCUUGGAUUUGUGGAAGACGAACUACUGCGAAAGCAUUUACCAAGGAUGUUUUCAUUA
This 400-nucleotide ribosomal RNA is filed under the name phytoplankton environmental sample. Its description in RNAcentral is "partial small subunit ribosomal RNA". It matches the Rfam family "Eukaryotic small subunit ribosomal RNA", at positions 587 to 975 of the family's 1831-position model. The record is from RNAcentral.